Molecule: long non-coding RNA, 6905 nt
Organism: Aethalodelphis obliquidens (Pacific white-sided dolphin)
Lineage: Eukaryota; Metazoa; Chordata; Mammalia; Artiodactyla; Delphinidae
Exons: 4
Source: RefSeq, a predicted model, not a curated record
CCGGGGCACGAACCCGUGUCCCCUGCAUUGGCAGGUGGACUCUCAGCCACUGCGCCACCAGGGAAGCCCUAGAAGUGAGGCUUUUAAGGCAGAGAGAAUGUGUAUCUCUAACUUUGAUAGCUAUUCCUCACUGUGAGAGAUGGUGUGGAUGUACAAUCCUAUUUAGCCAUGAUGAGGGUGCCUGUUCCUCCUCACCUUUGUCAGCCAAAUGCAUUGUCAAACUUUUUCAUCUUUGCCAAUCUGGUAAUGAUAAAAUGUCUUUGGUUUAAAUUGUCUUUCCACUGUAAUUAGUGAUGUUGAAUAUCUUUCUUUAAUUUAAAAUUUAUAUUUAAAAAUUUAAAAAUCUUUUUAUUUUUAAAGGUAAAAUAUAUUUCCUUUUUUGUGAACUAUCUAAUCAUGUACUUGGCCUCCUUGUUUCCAGGUACUUUUUGAUAAUGCUGUAAAUGUUAUUGGUCCAUCAGGCCGAAUUCCUCAGAAGCACUCUACUGACUCGUCUGAGCCAAACGUCUUCUGAUUGCAAGUCUCAGAAAUUCAUUAAAACCAGCCAAUGCAGAAAGGGGGAUUUUCUAGAAUCUGAGUGGAGCUGGGCCACAAGGCCUACCUUUGGGACCAAGGUGGUUGUCCUUUCUGUUAUUCUCUUGGCUGUGCAGCUGUUUAACUCUUGUUUCUGUGGACCAGCUUUAUCUCUGUUUCUUGUUGCACAUGGUAGGAAAUGGUUGUCUAGCUCCAAAUUCCAGGAGAGAGAAUAUCAUUGGCCCCUUGUGGGUCCGGUGUCUCCCACUGGGCCAGUCAACUGUUUGGUGCCAGCCUAUGGGGAGAUGCAGUGAAGGAGCUCAGGGUGUCCUCUUCUUGGGUCUUAACUGAAGGCUCCGAGCCUUUCACCGUGUUCUCAGUUAGGAUUAUUCCUUCUAAGCAUGGUACUUUGAACCCUUGCCAGGUUGGAUUGUUUACUUAGAGGGGGGCCAUCCUCCUUGUCAGUGCUGUCUCGAUGAGAUGCUGUCAACAGAGGGACAGUUACUCUCUUCACCUCUUCCAGACUAUGUGGUUAGUCUUCACAACAGUGGUCUGAACUCAUGUAGCUCUGGGGGUAGGAAAACUCCAUGGAGUACCCAGGCAAGGAUAAUUUUAAGGGAAUCAAUUUUUAGGUCCUCAACUUCUGUUAUAUUUCUAAAGUUGAGCUGUCUGAGAACACGCCUAGCAUAAGGGGUCUCUUAUCACCUUUUCCAUUCUGCAAAAGGAAAGCAAACCCUCACCCAUUCUAGUCAGGACCAUAGUGUGUUGCCCUGCUCUCUGGGGUGCCAUGGGGAUAAUUCUAAAUAUAAAUGUUGAGAAUAUGAGUCUAAAGACUAGGGAAUAAUCCUUUUAUAAGUUACAAGUUUUCUGAGUCUACUUUUAACAAAAUUGGAGGAACCAAUUGAGUUGUCAGUUGAUCAUUAAAAAUAAUUUUGAUAACAGAUCACUGCAUGACUUUGGUGUAUAACUCGGGAGUUCAAGGAAUUCAGAGAUGUUGCUAUUACAGAACUUCCAUUGCCAUCUAUUUAUUUAUGAGAACAAGGUGUCUCAGGGCUUAAUAUCUAUAAAAAUGAAAAACAGGAAUGGAAUUGGUGCUGAAACUGUCUUAACAGUAAGCAAGAUUCAUCCCUGGAAACAUGAACCUUCUUACUCUAUCAGGAUGCAUUUCUAGUGAAAUUUUGCUCAUUUAAUAAUGAUCAGUAUUUAUAUUCUGUUGUUUCAAAAUAUGUGCUAAUAGCAGUCAUAAUCAUGCAAUCCAGAGUAAAAUAUUUUUGAACACUUAGAGCUUAUGAGGUCACAGGAUAUUUGAUAUGUUACAGGGAAUUAUAAGUAUGGUCAAUAAGAGACUUUCAAGCCUAAAAAUGUGUUACAUUAGGGUAAAAUGUGGGGGGUAAAAUUCUAGAUGGAGGAGAGUAAUGGAGCUACCAGUUCAAGAAGAAAUUUCUGACUUAAAUAGACAUUUGUAUUUUUAACUAGAUGAAGGUAGGUGUCUAAUUGUGAUGGUAUUUACAGUCCACUGGAUACAUUUAUAAGACUGACUUAAUAGUUUACGCCAUUAUUUACAAUACACCAGAAACUGUCUUUGCAACUAUUUAAAAUUAUAAUGAAAAACUUUAGAUGUUAAGCUUACAUAAUACAAAGGGGAAUACAUAGAUUUUCAAAAUCCUUUUAGGGUAAACAAGAGCAAGAAAGGUUGAAAUGGCAGCUUUAUACUUUUCCUUUCAAAGAAGUGCCCGUUUACCCCUUCUCUGUUUUCUCUCUCAGCCAGAGUCCCUUUCUGGGUCCAACAAGCUUUCCCUCUCCUUCCUGGCCUCUCAUAUCCUGUGACUCCAGUGUGAAGCUGUCAGUGGCCUGGUGAGGGUGGGAUUGACUGUUACAGCACUGGCUGGCUUUCUUUGGUUUAUAUACUUUUCCUCUCCGUUAUGUGUGUGGCCCUGGGCUGGCUUCUCAGGCUUGUCUGACGUUGAGGUUCCUAAUGCCCAAGUCUUCUAUCGGGCUUUUCUUAUGGCUGGAAGCUGUGCAAACCUUUCACUUUCUGGCCUGUUGAUACUCAGUAGCUAGAGGUUAUACCAGGGACAAUAAUGAUUGACUGCUUAGAAAUUCUGAUACUGUCUGGUUCCAGUGAUUUAAUACAUUUAUUUGACAUUUUGACUGCACGUAUCCUGGAUUGGAGCACUCUUUAAUCUAGCACCAAAUACUGCCCGCGUCGGGGUUGAGAAGUGGGACCCUGUCCUUAGUGCUCCUCUUGUCAGAUUCAGUGGCUGUCAACCUUGGUCAUCCAGGGCUGCCUCUGACCCACAGUCAGUCAUUAAGGAGUUCCACUAAUCUGCUUCUUCCAGAUAUUUAAUUAGCGUGCCAAAGCCUGGGACCCCAAGAUGAAUCAGAUACUUUGAUUUGUAAGCAAACACUGUGAUUAUAUUUAAGGAAACUGUUAUAAGAAUUAUUUUUAGGUCCUUUUCAGGUUGUCUCUCAAUCGCUUAGGGUUGGUAAACCACAUGGUCAAGAAACUCUGUUAUGAAGGAAUUCUGUUAUCCUUCACCUGUCCUGAUUUGGGAGCUCCAUAAGACUGGUGGGGUUUGGUUGCUUGAGGACAGGUUGCCCCCCUGGCUGGGUGCAGGUAGAGGAAGCCUGGCUGUGGCUUCUGUUCCGGGACCCAUGUUGCACCUUGGCUUCGUGGGUCGGCCCCAUAGUUGGGAGCAUCAGCUGACCCUGGCUCUCAUUACAUGAACAGAGCAACUGGGGUGGCCCAGCCACCUCCUGGCGGAAGAUUAGAGGGGAUGGGUCAUUUGCACUUGCAUAAGCUCGAAUCAAGAAUCCUGACCUUUGUGUGGCGUGGGGGUGCUGUGCUGCUGCAGGAUGGGUUGGGAUGGCCAGAUUGAGAUGAGAUGCUGUUUGCUCAGGGUCCGGAGUCUGUUAGAGCUCUUUUCUAAGGAAGCUGCUGCAAACUAAUGGAAACAGGGCAGGCGGGGUGGCUGGAAUAUCAUUCUUUAGAUACUUCUUUUUUUUUCUUGAGUUCUGUCACAGCCCUCCUAGGACAUCAUGGCUGGACCUUGUCCAUUGACACUGAGCUUUGUCAUGGUCACAUGGUUGUACCUCAGGGCCCAAGCAUAGGUCUUUCAGACUGUCCAGCGUGUACUAGCCAGAUUGGAAUCCUUGCCUACUCCAAAUAGCAUUAUGAUGGGAGUCGGCUGAAGUGCCCUAGGCUGUAAGAAGUGGUGGGGUUGCCUCCCAGUUGGCAGGGAAAGUUUUAGAAAGAAGCAGAAGAAGCUCACUGCGAAAGGGCCUCGAUAUGGCUAUAAACUGUAACUGACAAAAUUAGGGACCUGGGUUUUCAAAGGCAGAAAAGGAGAGGCUGGUACUGGGGCCGGGUGGUGGUGGUGGGGGCGGUGGUGGGGAGGAGUGCUGUAAGGGAAGUCGUCUCGGAAAUAAGGGUGUUUCCUGAGGGCACCUCGCCAGGCAGGAAGACCACGCCCUGGCUUUUCACACGUUUGCGCACUCUGAGCCAGAGGGACAGACAGGCGGUGGGGGGCAGGUAGGCAAGGGUAGAGAGGAGGUGCCUGCACCGGGCCUGCUGGCCCCAGGGUCCGCUUCAGGCUGUGGCUGUACCGGGCUUAUGCUGAAGGUGUUGAGAGAUUAGAGCCUGAGCCCAGGACUUUGGGAGACGUCCAAGGAAGGAGGCAGCCUGGUUGCUCAGCUCAGCCUGGGCCCCUCCCCUCAGGGAAGUCCUAGCAGGAGUUACAGAAGUGCCUUGCCACUGGAGAGGGUGGGGGAAGAAGGAUGUAAGAUGCUCUAGAAUUGGUUAAUACCUGUCAGGCUCCAAGCCCAUCUUCCACUCCCCGACACCUCCCCUGCUUAGGCCACAAAACCUUGUGAGAUAGCAGAUUAAUUUGAAAAUUGAGCUGCAGCUGGAUGAGUUGAUGUCAACUUCAGAGUUCAGUUGUGUUUAAUUAAAGCCAUCCAGAGACUAAACCUGCUCCCAGGAAAUUAUUCUGACCGAAUAAUUAAAAGAGAAUAAAGGUUAGAUUUGUGUUUCUGGCUAAGUCUCUAUUGCAUUCGGCAUCUACAAAACAUGAAUUCCAUUAACCUUUUGUGAACCAACAUUAAAUUGCUUUCAGUUAGUUGUCAUUCUAAUUAAAGUAGAGUCACACAGAAGAGCCUUUGUUUAUACUUGGUGUCUGUUCCCUUUUCUUCUCUGGAAUUAUGUCCUUGAAGAAACGGUCAUUUGGAAAAUCGGUUCAUAACUUUAUGUGUCUGCCCAUCCCUCCCUUAGUCGGGGUCCUGUUCACUGAGCAUCAGAAGGAAUUGCACCAGGGGAAGUAGGCUGCAGCUGCAGAGGACGGCUGGGGACUUACCUGUACCUUGUCAUGCAGCAUAUUUUCCUGCAUGAUUGUGGAUGUGAGGUGUUAUGAACAAGAGUCUCUAAGCCAACCCAGGAUUUCUCAAGAUGGAUCACUCACUCCAGGCCCCCAGAACUCAGGAGGCAGGGAGAGGAGAUCUGCUUUCUUCAGCUUCAGGUCCGGACAGAGGUCUCCAAGUCAGCCCGACCCAGUGUUGGCUGAAUGGGCAUCACUGUGCUGAGAUGGGCUCCAGAGUACGCUUUGACUCUUCCCAGGAUGCACUAUGGCUUGGUGGAACAUCAGGAAUGAAACGGGAUGACCAGAGAAUGUCGUUCUCCUCGUGUAAGUGGAAGAGGCUCCAGCUUUCCAAGUUACAACACACGAAGUCCUGGCGUGGCAGUUAUCUGGGUAAGUGAACGCAGGCCUGUUCCUGAACCUCUCCAGCCCGCCCCUUGCCCACAGGGCAACACACCCCUUGUCAUUGCGAGCUGGGGUGUCUGGGGGUGCACUGGCCACACGGGGACUCCUCCAGCAACAGCUCUGCUCCGCUCCACCCAAGUCCUGAACACAUGCUCUUCAGCCCCGUCUCCUUUGUCCUAAAAACAUGUCCUUGUCCUAAACUCUCAUUGUAGUUCCACCUUUAAGCUAGAAACCUAGUUCCUUAUAGAAGUUACACUAACAAACACCUCAAUAUGUCCAAGAUCUAAUUCAUCAUUAUUUCCCCAUAGAGGUUCCUUUUUUGGAUCUCCUUUUUUAUUAAGAAGAAAAAUCAUAUUGUUUAGUGGGUUGGUUCUGGUGUCUGUCAGCUGUUUUGUCUCUGAAUUCUUGAAAGAGGAAUUCCUGCCCCAAGACAGCAUCUCACAGGUUAGUAUAUGCGAGUGGCUGUGAACAUAUAUUCAUAGUUAACAAGGAUGAAUAAGAUGAUGAUGAAAACCCCAUCAUUUCCAUGACUGUAAAACUGGGAAUGUAUGGGAUACUCUUAGUCUAAUGCUUCAUAAAGAAAAAUUUGUAGCAGCUAAUUUAUGGUUGCGGUGUACAGAGGAUGUAUCACUAAGCAACACGGGAGAGAUGGCGAAAGCGGGACGCUGAGUUCAAGGGCUUCUGGCAGGCUACACCGGGGAGGCAGGCAGUGGAGGCGGGUCAGGCAGGUAACCAGGAUCACCAGGAUUACCUAACAAACACUGGAGAGAGUGUAGACAUGAAAUAAAUUAAAACAAAGCUAUUCCCUAUUAAAUGGAAGCAUAAAUGAGAAGUAAUUUCCUCUAACAUUAUGAGAUGGAGUCUGUCACUCCAGAAUAGCUGUAUCCAUAGCAGUGGCAGUGGUCAGCUGAUAAAUGUGUCCUUCUGAACUGUCAUGUCUUCUGAUGAUUGGACAGUCACGGAAACUAGCAGCAUAAAUGAAAAAAGACUCAAGACACAUUUGGAGAGACAAAUGAAACAUUUUAUUUUUUAAUCUUCAAAAUCUUCUGCCAUAAGACAGGAAUGCAUGAUAGAAAUGGCUCAACAUCUUCACAUGAAACACUUGGAUUCAUUUUCAUUCACAAGUUUUUCUAAAAACAUCUACAAUUUCAUAAUCCCACCCACUUCCAACCAUUAUCACAGAUUUAGUUGACUGUUAAACAGUAGUCGCCAGCAGUAGAGCUGGAACGCUUUCUGCGUAUUAGUAGUGUCUUUGGAAACUACCACCCAAGAUAUCACGAAUAUAAAUUUCAUGGUACACAGCAACCCCAAAGGUGACUGAUGUCCCCAAAUAAACUCCCUGCUUAUCAUGGAGAGUGGUAUCCCCCGGGUACUUAACGAAAUGCUUUUUCUUCUCCUAGAAUUACUUGUUCAUCUCAUAGUAUUUUUCUUGCAGGGUAUAUAGCACAUGCUGACCUGAUGAUUCAGUCACCAUAGCUAAUAGGCAAAUAUAUAUGCCUGAUACUACUGCUGCUCUCUGAUAAUUAUGUACAAACAUACUGAAAAAUGAUGGGUUGCUUGGAGUCUACCUCCCUUCUUCUGAAGAGAACUACUUUGAGGUUUUUUUUUUUUUGAACAGUUGUAAACAAAAGGAAA